Molecule: ribosomal RNA, 318 nt
Filed under: Triticum aestivum (bread wheat)
Lineage: Eukaryota; Viridiplantae; Streptophyta; Magnoliopsida; Poales; Poaceae
Description: partial small subunit ribosomal RNA
Source: RNAcentral
AUGGCGGAAGGAAAAAGGUGCCACGACGGUGAAACGGAAAUGGUGCCACGACAACAUUACGGUCCCGAUAACUCAUGGAGGUACCGGUGCAAAAGGAAGUGUGACGUGAGUGAGUCAUGCAAGAAUGGUGGGGUGCUCCCGGAUUCCGGGUUCCCACAGGACGGCAACAUGGCAAACGAGGAAUGUGCAAAAACAACUCAGACACGGUGCAAACAUAUGGUACAUCUCAUACAUGCAAGGGCAUCUCAUCGCGGUCGUCUCGGGUUAUACCUUCAAAGCGUGCGUUUCGGGGCGGUUCCAAAUCGUCGAGGGAAGUAG